AUAUGGGUUCUUAUGGAUAGGAUACCAGACUUCCUCUGGGAUACACACCUCGAAGUAGGAUUACUGGGCUCUAUAGAGAAAUCCAAGGUAUUUUUCCAGUAUACUGUUAUUUGGGGUAAUUGCUUGAUCGUUUGAAGGGCACCCAGGAGCUGUGUGGAACGUAAUCUCAAAAUGGCCAGUGAAACCAUCAGAGGAUGAGCAAGUUCUAAGGGUGAAACCAGAAGUGUGGCUGCCUGUUCCUUGUUGACUGCUUGACCAGAGAAACCAAGUUCAGGAUCUUGUAUUUACUGAGAUGACUGGCAUGCAUUAUCAGAGCAGCUGCCCCUGGAAAAUUUCUGAAUUAAACUUAUUGAUUUUAUGUAA
Hyaena hyaena (striped hyena) is the source of this 363-nucleotide long non-coding RNA. RefSeq lists it as uncharacterized. The record is from RefSeq and is a predicted model, not a curated record. Lineage: Eukaryota; Metazoa; Chordata; Mammalia; Carnivora; Hyaenidae. The transcript is spliced from 2 exons.